RNAcentral lists this ribosomal RNA (177 nucleotides) under Stenotrophomonas maltophilia. RNAcentral describes it as "partial 16S ribosomal RNA". It matches the Rfam family "Bacterial small subunit ribosomal RNA", at positions 650 to 824 of the family's 1533-position model. The record is from RNAcentral. Lineage: Bacteria; Pseudomonadati; Pseudomonadota; Gammaproteobacteria; Lysobacterales; Lysobacteraceae.
GGUAGAGGGUAGCGGAAUUCCUGGUGUAGCAGUGAAAUGCGUAGAGAUCAGGAUUGGAACAUCCAUGGCGAAGGCAGCUACCUGGACCAACACUGACACUGAGGCACGAAAGCGUGGGGAGCAAACAGGAUUAGAUACCCUGGUAGUCCACGCCCUAAACGAUGCGAACUGGAUGUU